AUUGAACGCUGGCGGCAGGCCUAACACAUGCAAGUCGAACGGUAACAGAAAGCAGCUUGCUGCUUUGCUGACGAGUGGCGGACGGGUGAGUAAUGUCUGGGAAACUGCCUGAUGGAGGGGGAUAACUACUGGAAACAGUAGCUAAUACCGCAUAACGUCGCAAGACCAAAGAGGGGGACCUUCGGGCCUCUUGCCAUCGGAUGUGCCCAGAUGGGAUUAGCUAGUAGGUGGGGUAACGGCUCACCUAGGCGACGAUCCCUAGCUGGUCUGAGAGGAUGACCAGCCAAACGGGAACGGAGACACGGUCCGGCCGCCUACGGGAGGCGGCAGGGGGGAAUAUUGGAAAAGGGGAGCAAGCCUGAUGCAGCCAUGCCGCGUGUAUGAAGAAGGCCUUCGGGUUGUAAAGUACUUUCGGCGGGGAGGAAGGGAGUAAAGUUAAUACCUUUGCUCAUUGACGUUACCCGAAGAAGAAGCACCGGAUAACUCC
This 487-nucleotide ribosomal RNA is filed under the name uncultured bacterium. RNAcentral describes it as "partial 16S ribosomal RNA". It matches the Rfam family "Bacterial small subunit ribosomal RNA", at positions 29 to 504 of the family's 1533-position model. The record is from RNAcentral.